This 429-nucleotide ribosomal RNA is filed under the name uncultured Enterobacteriaceae bacterium. Its description in RNAcentral is "bacterial SSU rRNA". It matches the Rfam family "Bacterial small subunit ribosomal RNA", at positions 355 to 774 of the family's 1533-position model. Lineage: Bacteria; Pseudomonadati; Pseudomonadota; Gammaproteobacteria; Enterobacterales; Enterobacteriaceae. The record is from RNAcentral.
UGGGGAAUAUUGCACAAUGGGCGCAAGCCUGAUGCAGCCAUGCCGCGUGUAUGAAGAAGGCCUUCGGGUUGUAAAGUACUUUCGGCGAGGAGGAAGGGGGGAUGGUUAAUAACCAUUUUCAUUGACGUUACUCGCAGAAGAAGCACCGGCUAACUCCGUGCCAGCAGCCGCGGUAAUACGGAGGGUGCAAGCGUUAAUCGGAAUUACUGGGCGUAAAGCGCACGCAGGCGGUCUGUCAAGUCGGAUGUGAAAUCCCCGGGCUCAACCUGGGAACUGCAUUCGAAACUGGCAGGCUAGAGUCUUGUAGAGGGGGGGUAGAAUUCCAGGUGUAGCGGUGAAAUGCGUAGAGAUCUGGAGGAAUACCGGUUGGCGAAGGCGGCCCCCUGGACAAAGACUGACGCUCAGGUGCGAAAGCGUGGGGAGCAAACA